GAUAAGAACGUAGCGAAAUGCGAUACGUAGUGUGAAUUGCAGAAUUCAGUGAAUCAUCGAAUCUUUGAACGCACAUUGCACCUCUCGGUAUUCCGGGAGGUAUGCCUGUUCGAGCGUCAUUUGUACCCUCAAGCUCUGCUUGGUGUUGGGUGUUUGUUCCGCCUCUGUGUGUGAACUCGCCUCAAAACAAUUGGCAGCCGGCGUACUUGUUUCGGAGCGCAGUACAUCUCGCGCUUUGCACUCAUAACGACGACGUCCAAAAGUACAUUUUUACACUCUUGACCUCGGAUCAGGUAGGGAUACCCGCUGAACUUAAGCAUAUCAAUAAGCGGAGGA
RNAcentral lists this unclassified non-coding RNA (336 nucleotides) under soil metagenome. RNAcentral's name for it is "partial contains 5.8S ribosomal RNA, internal transcribed spacer 2, and large subunit ribosomal RNA". The stretch from base 4 to 119 matches the Rfam family "5.8S ribosomal RNA", at positions 39 to 154 of the family's 154-position model. The record is from RNAcentral.